Molecule: unclassified non-coding RNA, 326 nt
Filed under: uncultured Ascomycota
Lineage: Eukaryota; Fungi; Ascomycota
Description: sequence contains ITS1
Source: RNAcentral
GGGCAGGGCGGCGCCACGCUGCAGGUCGAGGCGCGCGACAGUGAUGGCCGGCCGAUGUCCGGCCUGAAGUUUCACGGCCGGUUCGAACGGCCGACUGACCGGCGCUCCGAUCUGCCGGUCGCGCUCGCCGAAGUCGGGAUCGGCAUUUAUCGCGGGAGCGCGGAGACAAUCGCGCCGGGCCAAUGGGAUCUGGUGCUCGAAGGCGUCUCGGCCGGCCAGCGGCUGUUUUUGUCCAAGAACCGCGUGUUGUUGAAUUAGGAAGAUCGGAUCAUGCAGGCGACGCGAGACUUUUCACAUUAUGUCCGGCAUCUCGAAUCGGGGCUGUC